UGGGGAAUAUUGCACAAUGGGCGCAAGCCUGAUGCAGCGACGCCGCGUGGGGGAUGAAGGCCUUCGGGUUGUAAACUCCUUUCGCUAGGGACGAAGCGUUUUUGUGACGGUACCUGGAGAAGAAGCACCGGCUAACUACGUGCCAGCAGCCGCGGUAAUACGUAGGGUGCGAGCGUUGUCCGGAAUUACUGGGCGUAAAGAGCUCGUAGGUGGUUUGUCGCGUCGUUUGUGUAAGUCCACAGCUUAACUGUGGGACUGCAGGCGAUACGGGCAUAACUUGAGUGCUGUAGGGGAGACUGGAAUUCCUGGUGUAGCGGUGGAAUGCGCAGAUAUCAGGAGGAACACCGAUGGCGAAGGCAGGUCUCUGGGCAGUAACUGACGCUGAGGAGCGAAAGCAUGGGUAGCGAACAGG
RNAcentral lists this ribosomal RNA (412 nucleotides) under uncultured Corynebacterium sp. RNAcentral's name for it is "bacterial SSU rRNA". It matches the Rfam family "Bacterial small subunit ribosomal RNA", at positions 355 to 776 of the family's 1533-position model. Lineage: Bacteria; Bacillati; Actinomycetota; Actinomycetes; Mycobacteriales; Corynebacteriaceae. The record is from RNAcentral.